CUACGGGGCGCACCAGUGAGGAAUAUUGCACAAUGGGGGGAACCCUGAUGCAGCAACGCCGCGUGGAGGAUGACGCAUUUCGGUGUGUAAACUCCUUUUAUAUGUCAAGAAAAUGACGGUAGCAUAUGAAUAAGCACCGGCUAACUCCGUGCCAGCAGCCGCGGUAAUACGGAGGGUGCAAGCGUUACUCGGAAUCACUGGGCGUAAAGGACGCGUAGGCGGGCUUGUAAGUCAGGUGUGAAAUCCUACAGCUUAACUGUAGAACUGCACUUGAAACUAUGAGCCUAGAGUAUGGGAGGGGCAGAUGGAAUUAGUGGUGUAGGGGUAAAAUCCGUAGAUAUCACUAGGAAUACCUAAAGCGAAGGCGAUCUGCUGGAACAUAACUGACGCUAAGGCGUGAAAGCGUGGGGAGCAAACAGGAAUAGAUACCCGAGUAGUC
This 439-nucleotide ribosomal RNA is filed under the name uncultured bacterium. Its description in RNAcentral is "partial 16S ribosomal RNA". It matches the Rfam family "Bacterial small subunit ribosomal RNA", at positions 339 to 795 of the family's 1533-position model. The record is from RNAcentral.